This 439-nucleotide ribosomal RNA is filed under the name uncultured bacterium. RNAcentral's name for it is "partial 16S ribosomal RNA". It matches the Rfam family "Bacterial small subunit ribosomal RNA", at positions 338 to 795 of the family's 1533-position model. The record is from RNAcentral.
CCUACGUGGAGCAGCAGUAGGGAAUAUUGCUCAAUGGGGGAAACCCUGAAGCAGCAACGCCGCGUGGAGGAUGAAGGUUUUCGGAUUGUAAACUCCUUUUGUUAGAGAAGAUAAUGACGGUAUCUAACGAAUAAGCACCGGCUAACUCCGUGCCAGCAGCCGCGGUAAUACGGAGGGUGCAAGCGUUACUCGGAAUCACUGGGCGUAAAGAGCGCGUAGGCGGUCCGUUAAGUCAGCGGUAAAAUUGCGGGGCUCAACCCCGUCGAGCCGUUGAAACUGGCAGACUUGAGUUGGCGAGAAGUACGCGGAAUGCGCGGUGUAGCGGUGAAAUGCAUAGAUAUCGCGCAGAACUCCGAUUGCGAAGGCAGCGUACCGGCGCCAGACUGACGCUGAGGCACGAAAGCGUGGGGAUCGAACAGGAUUAGAUACCCGAGUAGUC